RNAcentral lists this ribosomal RNA (481 nucleotides) under uncultured bacterium. RNAcentral describes it as "partial 16S ribosomal RNA". It matches the Rfam family "Bacterial small subunit ribosomal RNA", at positions 30 to 506 of the family's 1533-position model. The record is from RNAcentral.
AUUGAACGCUGGCGGCAUGAUUUACACAUGCAAGUCGAACGGUAACAGGCCGCAAGGUGCUGACGAGUGGCGAACGGGUGAGUAAUGCAUCGGAACGUGCCCAGUCGUGGGGGAUAACUACUCGAAAGAGUAGCUAGUACCGCAUACGAUCUAUGGAUGAAAGCGGGGGACCGUAAGGCCUCGCGCGAUUGGAGCGGCCGAUGUCAGAUUAGGUAGUUGGUGGGGUAAAGGCUCACCAAGCCAACGAUCUGUAGCUGGUCUGAGAGGACGACCAGCCACACUGGGACUGAGACACGGCCCAGACUCCUACGGGAGGCAGCAGUGGGGAAUUUUGGACAAUGGGCGCAAGCCUGAUCCAGCAAUGCCGCGUGCAGGAAGAAGGCCUUCGGGUUGUAAACUGCUUUUGUACGGAACGAAACGGCUCUGGUUAAUACCCGGGGCUAAUGACGGUACCGUAAGAAUAAGCACCGGCUAACUACGU